Pieris napi is the source of this 308-nucleotide long non-coding RNA. RefSeq lists it as uncharacterized. The record is from RefSeq and is a predicted model, not a curated record. The transcript is spliced from 2 exons. Lineage: Eukaryota; Metazoa; Arthropoda; Insecta; Lepidoptera; Pieridae.
CGAAAUCAUAGUUUAACCUUAGUGUACACUAAGCAAAGUUUUUCGUAAGAAAUGUUCGUCAUAGAUCAGACGCAGUGUGCGGCGUUGUCCCAUUGGCUCAUCGUCGAGUCUCGGGUCUUCCACAGACGCGUUCCUUCUUUGAACAGAUCAGGUCUAUUAUGGUCAACGAAAGAGAGUAAUUCAAUUUACCAUUUAUUUGAAAUACCAAAUUCUUUACAAGAAAAGAAAUAAACGAAUAACCCGCCGUGCUAUACAUUUUAGACUUACCAUCACGAAAAUAAGACUUAAAUAAAUUAUGUGUAAUUGCA